This 253-nucleotide ribosomal RNA is filed under the name uncultured bacterium. Its description in RNAcentral is "partial 16S ribosomal RNA". It matches the Rfam family "Bacterial small subunit ribosomal RNA", at positions 524 to 776 of the family's 1533-position model. The record is from RNAcentral.
UACGUAGGGGGCAAGCGUUGUCCGGAUUUAUUGGGCGUAAAGAGCGUGUAGGCGGCCUGAAAGGUCAGCUGUGAAAACUCGAGGCUCAACCUCGAGACGUCGAUGGAAACCGUAUGGCUAGAGUCCGGAAGAGGAGAGUGGAAUUCCUGGUGUAGCGGUGAAAUGCGCAGAUAUCAGGAAGAACACCCGUGGCGAAGGCGGCUCUCUGGGACGGUACUGACGCUGAGACGCGAAAGCGUGGGGAGCGAACAGG